Molecule: ribosomal RNA, 452 nt
Filed under: uncultured bacterium
Lineage: Bacteria
Description: bacterial SSU rRNA
Rfam family: Bacterial small subunit ribosomal RNA
Source: RNAcentral
AACGAACGCUGGCGGCAGGCCUCAAACAUGCAAGUCUAGGGGGUGUAGCAAUACAUCACCGGCGGACGGGUGCGUAACGCGUGGGAAUAUACCUAUCGAUUCGGAACAACUGAGGGAAACUUCAGCUAAUACCGAAUACGUCCUAACGGAGAAAGAUUUAUCGUCGAUAGAUUAGCCCGCGUUCGAUUAGCUAGUUGGUGGGGUAACGGCCCACCAAGGCGACGAUCGAUAGCUGUUCUGAGAGGAAGAUCAGCCACACUGGGACUGAGACACGGCCCAGACUCCUACGGGAGGCAGCAGUUGGGAAUCUUGGACAAUGGGGGAAACCCUGAUCCAGCCAUGCCGCGUGAGUGAUGAAGGCCUUCGGGUUGUAAAACUCUUUCGUGCACGACGAUAAUGACGGUAGUGCGAGAAGAAGCUCCGGCUAACUUCGUGCCAGCAGCCGCGGUAAU